GCACUGUAGUCAGAGUUUGAUCCUGGCUCAGGAUGAACGCUGGCGGCGUGCCUAACACAUGCAAGUCGAACGGUUAAGACGGCUCCGGCCGUGAAUAGAGUGGCGAACGGGUGAGUAACACGUGACCAACCUGCCCUCCGCACCGGGACAACCGGGGGAAACCCCGGCUAAUACCGGACGAUCCCGGGGCCCCGCAUGGGGCCCGGGCGAAGCCCAGGCGGCGGGGGAUGGGGUCGCGGCCCAUUAGGUAGACGGCGGGGCAACGGCCCACCGUGCCGACGAUGGGUAGCCGGGUUGAGAGACCGACCGGCCACAUUGGGACUGAGAUACGGCCCAG
RNAcentral lists this ribosomal RNA (337 nucleotides) under uncultured bacterium. RNAcentral's name for it is "bacterial SSU rRNA". It matches the Rfam family "Bacterial small subunit ribosomal RNA", at positions 1 to 334 of the family's 1533-position model. The record is from RNAcentral.